Molecule: long non-coding RNA, 591 nt
Organism: Papaver somniferum (opium poppy)
Lineage: Eukaryota; Viridiplantae; Streptophyta; Magnoliopsida; Ranunculales; Papaveraceae
Exons: 4
Source: RefSeq, a predicted model, not a curated record
UGGUGGCGGGGUUCUGGCGGUGGUUCAAUAUCACCAGGAUUAGCGUAGCUAUGUGGUACGGAUGGUGCUGGUAGUGAUGGUGUUCGUAGUAGAUCCAAAGCAGCAUAUUUCUGGCUUAGAUUUUGAUCCUUCCAAAUAUGCUCCUAAGUUUAGAGAUUAACGAAGUUAUUAGAAUGUCAAAGUGGUCUUACAUGGAGGUGGUAAUAAACAGUUUAAACUCCAAGGAUUCGGUUGAUAUUGGUCCAAUCUCCGCAUUAGUGUUUCAAUUUCAGACGCCCAGGUGCUGAUAAAAUUUACAAUGUUUUCAACAAUCAACUUCCUGUAGCUCUGAAAAUAUUGAAAUUUGAUAAGCAACUCGCGAUGGAGAACGUGUGAAAGAUAAUUACUGAAGCAGAUGGUUACCAAUCACAUCUUAUCGCCCCUGAACAAGGAUAUCAUUGUCUCAUUGAAUCUUCGUUAAUUACUAUUAGAGGUCAUGCAAAGGUAGCAGUUGAUGCAGUAGGCAUUACUUUAACUCACUGCCUAUAUUCCAUGUUAAACAUAGUUGUGCACACUACUGUAAAUUAACAUUUUUAAAAAAUAAAAAUUAUA